GACGAACGCUGGCGGCGUGCCUAAUACAUGCAAGUCGAACGCUGAAGAGAGGAGCUUGCUCUUCUUGGAUGAGUUGCGAACGGGUGAGUAACGCGUAGGUAACCUGCCUUGUAGCGGGGGAUAACUAUUGGAAACGAUAGCUAAUACCGCAUAACAAUGGAUGACACAUGUCAUUUAUUUGAAAGGGGCAAUUGCUCCACUACAAGAUGGAUCUGCGUUGUAUUAGCUAGUAGGUGAGGUAACGGCUCACCUAGGCGACGAUACAUAGCCGACCUGAGAGGGUGAUCGGCCACACUGGGACUGAGACACGGCCCAGACUCCUACGGGAGGCAGCAGUAGGGAAUCUUCGGCAAUGGGGGCAACCCUGACCGAGCAACGCCGCGUGAGUGAAGAAGGUUUUCGGAUCGUAAAGCUCUGUUGUAAGUCAAGAACGAGUGUGAGAGUGGAAAGUUCACACUGUGACGGUAGCUUACCAGAAAGGGACGGCUAACUACGUG
This 497-nucleotide ribosomal RNA is filed under the name uncultured bacterium. Its description in RNAcentral is "partial 16S ribosomal RNA". It matches the Rfam family "Bacterial small subunit ribosomal RNA", at positions 28 to 507 of the family's 1533-position model. The record is from RNAcentral.